Molecule: long non-coding RNA, 2721 nt
Filed under: Homo sapiens (human)
Lineage: Eukaryota; Metazoa; Chordata; Mammalia; Primates; Hominidae
Description: HSALNT0063415
Source: RNAcentral
AGCCUGGGUUCACGCUCGCGCCUCUCCCUCCACACCUCCCUGCAAGCUGAGGGAGCCAGCUCCGGCCUAGGCCAGCCCAGGAAGGGGCUCUCACAGUGCAGCGGCGGGCUGAAAGGCUCCUCAAGUGCCGCCAAAGUGGGAGCCCAGGCAGAGGAGGCGCCGAGAGCGACUGAGGGCUGCCAGCAUGCUGUCACCUCUCACUAGUUUAGGAAAAUUCUGUUGACCUAUAAUGAAGUUUACAGAUUUUUCCUCAUAUCUGUCCAGUCUACGGAUUAGAUCUUCAAAGAUAAACUUCCUUUGACGCUGACCCUCAACAACAUUCGAUCUACUUAUUCUUAUCAUUGUUUGAGAUGAAAUCCCACUAUUUUGCCCAGGCUCAUCUAUAACUUCUGAGCUCAAGACAUCCUCCUGCUUUGACCUUCCAAAGUGCUGGGAUAGGGGUUUUGUGCAAAUAUCUGCUGAGUGAACUACUUAUUUGAAAAUACAUCAUUGGUUAAUAUUCCCUUUUGCUCAUUGAAAUCUCAAAGACUACAGACAAACUACAAUAAAGCCAUGCCCUGACUGGAUGUGCCUAACAUUUGUCUGGUGCUUAAAGGAGUUGGCUGCAUGCGUGGAAAUGUUGGAAAGUCACCAAAAAUAGUUCUCCAAGUCAGAAGCGGUGCAAAAGCUGCCUCAGCUCUUGGUGGAUUUUCAAUUUCUCCCAGCCAUCUCUGUUUCGCUAAAGGUUUCUGAAGACAGUGGAAUGCUGUUGAAGACACCACCUUGAUAAAACAAAAACAUCAGCCAAAUUAAAUUUAAAGGAGUUUAAUUGAGCAAAGAAUUAUUCAUGAAUCAAGCAGUCUUCCAAGCCAGAGUAGGCUCAAAUACUCCAGCACAGCCACGUGGUGGAAGAUUUAUGGACAAAAGAAGAAAAGUAACAUAUAGAAAAUGGAAAUGAGGGGAAGCUUUUUUCUCCUCCCCAUCCUGAUCACUAGUAUGAGAAGGGGUGCUAAUGGACCAGCCUUGGCCUUGCAGAUGAAGAUGAUGAAGGAAGAAGAUGUAUAAAGAACCUCUGAAAGAGUCCCAGUUUUACAUUUCAAAGUCUUUUUCCUUCUGUUGUUUAUUGUGUUGGGUUGGAGUGGAGGAUAUUUGAUGGAGAAUUGAUUCUGAAACUUGCCAAAAUAUGGAUAAUACUUUGCUCCUUUUCCAUUGUGGGUUAUCACAAAGAAGAGUUUCACUUUUAGUCAUCUAUUUACAGGUACGGCAAUAGCUAUUUUCUUUUUCUUUUUUUUAUUUUAGGUUUUAUUUUAGGUACAUGUGAAGGUUUCUUGUAUAGGUAAACUAGUGUCAUGUGGGAUUGUUGCACAGAUUAUUUUAUCAACCAGGUAUUAAGGAAGCUCAGUACCCAAUAGUUAUAUUUUCUGCUCCUCUCCCUCAUCCCACUCUCCACCCUGAGGUCGACCCCAGUGUCUGUUGUUUCCUUCUUUCUGUUAAUGAGUUCUCAUCAUUUAGCUCCCACUUAUAAGUGAGAACAUGUGCUAUGUGUUUUUCUGUUCCUGUGUUAGUUGGCUAAGGAUAAUGGCCUCCAGCUCCAUUUUUGUUUCCCUCUCCAGCAUCUGUUUUUUUUUUUAAUUUUUAGUAAUAUCCAUUCUGACUGGUAUGAGAUGGUAUCUCAUUGUGGUUCUGACUUGCAUUUCUGUAAUGGUCAAUGAUGUUCAGCUUUUCUUUUCAUGUGCUUGUUGCCCACAUGUAUGUUUUGUUUUGAAAAGUGUUUGUUCGUGUCCUUUAUCCACUUUUCAAUGGGGUUGUUUGCUUUUCUCUCGUAAAUUUGUUUAAUUUCCUUAUAGAUGUUAUGACCUAGCAGCUGUACCUUUUUUAAUUUCAAGACAUUCAAUAAACUAAGAACCAACAGCACAGUUGAUGUGUCUUUCCAUGACACCUGCCAUCUUUCCUCUCUUCAUAGCUAUAAGAAUAUUUUGGAAGAAGAGUUGCUGAUAAAUGCCACUUAGGGAAUCUCUGAGCAUCUGUUAUUAUAAAUGGUUGACUAAAAUUUAGGGUAAAGCAUCCUAUUAAAAAUGAAGUUAAGGACUUUAUGUAGAACUUUAAAAUUUGUCCCCCAAAUCCUGUUGUAUGUCAACAUAUUAUAAAAUAAAUUGUAAAUAUCAUAACUCAGCAAAAGAACAUCAUCUAAAACUCAUUAAGAAUUUAAUGUUGAGUAUAUCAGUGACACAAAAUCAUGAGGCAAGAUGGUUUAAAUAUGUUACAAAUAAUAAUAAAUAAUCAUACCCUCUGAGUUUAAAUUCUUUAUCACCCUGUAUGUACUGCCACUCAACACUUGACUUCAGGGCCAUAAUCCUUAGUGAACCCAUCUAACAUCCACCUAAAAUAAAGGUUUGGAGCCACUCUUCUAUGCUUAACAAAUAGCCUUAAGCAUCAUGAAUAAACAGAGACAGGCUAGCUCCUUUUUGCUCUAUAGCCUUAAGUAGUUCUGACCAUGACUAGAAAGACAUAGCUGCAAGCAGCCUGAUCUUUUUUUAACAUCUUGACUUUUUGCAAGGUAUUUCUAAAAUAUGUUACUAAUAUGUACUUCUUGGUUGUUUUACUAAUAUUUGAAAGAACUAAAGUUAUCAUUAGUCACGUUUCAUUUGAAACUACAGAAGCAAUAAAAACAACAAAGUUCCAAUAUAAAAUCCAUUAUUAAAUAGCUUUCAACAUAAUAGAUUAUUUACUACAAAAUAGCAA